AACGAACGCUGGCGGCAGGCCUAACACAUGCAAGUCGAGCGAGCAUUUCGGUGCUAGCGGCGGACGGGUGAGUAACGCGUGGGAACGUGCCCUUUUCUGCGGAAUAGUCCUGGGAAACUGGGGGUAAUACCGCAUACGCCCUUUUAGGGAAAGAUUUAUCGGAGAAGGAUCGGCCCGCGUUGGAUUAGGUAGUUGGUGGGGUAAUGGCCCACCAAGCCGACGAUCCAUAGCUGGUUUGAGAGGAUGAUCAGCCACACUGGGACUGAGACACGGCCCAGACUCCUACGGGAGGCAGCAGUGGGGAAUCUUAGACAAUGGGGGCAACCCUGAUCUAGCCAUGCCGCGUGAGUGAUGAAGGCCUUAGGGUUGUAAAGCUCUUUCAGCUGGGAAGAUAAUGACGGUACCAGCAGAAGAAGCCCCGGCUAACUCCGUG
RNAcentral lists this ribosomal RNA (433 nucleotides) under uncultured bacterium. Its description in RNAcentral is "partial 16S ribosomal RNA". It matches the Rfam family "Bacterial small subunit ribosomal RNA", at positions 29 to 507 of the family's 1533-position model. The record is from RNAcentral.